RNAcentral lists this microRNA (21 nucleotides) under Homo sapiens (human). RNAcentral describes it as "hsa-miR-4783-5p". The record is from miRBase by way of RNAcentral. Lineage: Eukaryota; Metazoa; Chordata; Mammalia; Primates; Hominidae.
GGCGCGCCCAGCUCCCGGGCU